RNAcentral lists this ribosomal RNA (654 nucleotides) under uncultured Basidiomycota. RNAcentral describes it as "LSU rRNA". It matches the Rfam family "Eukaryotic large subunit ribosomal RNA", at positions 9 to 635 of the family's 3401-position model. Lineage: Eukaryota; Fungi; Basidiomycota. The record is from RNAcentral.
AAUCAGGCAGGACUACCCGCCGGAACUUAAGCAUAUCAAUAAGCGGAGGAAAAGAAACUAACAAGGAUUCCCCUAGUAACUGCGAGUGAAGCGGGAAGAGCUCAAAUUUAAAAUCUGGCGGCCCCCCCUGGCUGUCCGAGUUGUAAGCUAGAGAAGCGCAGUCCGCGCUGGGGCCAUGUACAAGUCUCCUGGAACGGAGCGUCAUAGAGGGUGAGAAUCCCGUCUCUGACAUGGACCUCUCCCAGGGCAUAGCGAUUGCGUUCUCAAAGAGUCGAGUUGUUUGGGAAUGCAGCUCCAAAUGGGUGGUAAACUCCAUCUAAAGCUAAACAUAGGCGAGAGACCGAUAGCGAACAAGUACCGUGAGGGAAAGAUGAAAAGAACUUUGGAAAGAGAGUUAAACAGUACGUGAAAUUGUUGAAAGGGAAACGCUUGAAGUCAGUCACGUCGGCUUGGGAUCAGCCUUGCAACUGCGAGGUGCACUCCCUGGUCGACGGGUCAGCACCAGUUUCGACCGCUGGAGAAAGGUCGGGGGAAUGUGGCAUCCUCGGAUGUGUUUAUAGCCCUCGAUUGCAUGCAUCGGUUGGGAUUGAGGAACUCAGCGCGCCGCAAGGCCGGGUUUUCAAACCACGUCCGCGCUCAGGAUGCUGGCACAAU